UUCCUACGGGGGGCAGCAGUGAGGAAUAUUGGUCAAUGGGCGCAGGCCUGGACCAGCCAAGUAGCGUGAAGGAUGACUGCCCUACGGGUUGUAAACUUCUUUUAUAUGGGAAUAAAGUUUUCCACGUGUGGAAUUUUGUAUGUACCAUAUGAAUAAGGAUCGGCUAACUCCGUGCCAGCAGCCGCGGUAAUACGGAGGAUCCGGGCGUUAUCCGGAUUUAUUGGGUUUAAAGGGAGCGUAGAUGGGUUGUUAAGUCAGUUGUGAAAGUUUGCGGCUCAACCGUAAAAUUGCAAUUGAUACUGGCG
Molecule: ribosomal RNA, 305 nt
Filed under: uncultured bacterium
Lineage: Bacteria
Description: bacterial SSU rRNA
Rfam family: Bacterial small subunit ribosomal RNA
Source: RNAcentral